UUUUAGGUCUAAUCUGCCCACUGAAUUAUUUAAAGGGCCGCAGUAUAAAUGUGCAAAGGUAGCAUAAUAAUUAGUUUUUUUAUUGGAAACUAGAAUGAAUGAUUGGACGAAAUAUUAACUGUUUAAAUUUUAUCGAUAAAAUUUAUUUUUUUAGUGAAAAAACUAAGAUUAUUUAAAAAGACAAGAAGACCCUAUAGAUCUUAAUAUAUUUUAUUUAUAUAUUUAUAUAAAUAAAAUUAUUUAAUUGGGGUGAUUAAAAAAUUUAAUUAACUUUAGUAAUUUAAAACUAAAAUUAUAGGGGUAAGUUAUAAUCGAUUUAAUUAAUAUAAUAUUAUUUAUCAAUAAAGAAAAAGAUACCUUAGGGAUAACAGCGUAAUUUUAAUUUUAAGUUCUUAUUAAAAUUAGAGAUUGCGACCUCGAUGUUGGAUUAAAAUUAAUAUCAAAUGUAGAUGUUUGAGAAUUAGGUCUGUUCGACCUUUAAAAUUUUACG
RNAcentral lists this ribosomal RNA (490 nucleotides) under Lingora aurata. RNAcentral's name for it is "partial 16S ribosomal RNA". The record is from RNAcentral. Lineage: Eukaryota; Metazoa; Arthropoda; Insecta; Trichoptera; Conoesucidae.